Molecule: transfer RNA, 83 nt
Filed under: Bacillota bacterium
Lineage: Bacteria; Bacillati; Bacillota
Also listed under: 3 other names
Description: tRNA-Leu
Rfam family: tRNA
About the family: Transfer RNA (tRNA) molecules are approximately 80 nucleotides in length. Their secondary structure includes four short double-helical elements and three loops (D, anti-codon, and T loops).
Source: RNAcentral
GCGGACAUGGCGGAAUUGGCAGACGCGCACGGCUAAGGACCGUGUGGGAGACCUUGCAGGUUCGAGUCCUGUUGUCCGCACCA